AGUAACACAUCGGAACGUAUCCAGUCGUGGGGGAUAGCCCGGCGAAAGCCGGAUUAAUACCGCAUACGACCUGAGGGUGAAAGUGGGGGAUCGCAAGACCUCACGCGAAUGGAGCGGCCGAUGUCCGAUUAGCUAGUUGGUGGGGUAAAGGCCUACCAAGGCGACGAUCGGUAGCUGGUCUGAGAGGAUGAUCAGCCACACUGGGACUGAGACACGGCCCAG
RNAcentral lists this ribosomal RNA (222 nucleotides) under uncultured bacterium. RNAcentral describes it as "partial 16S ribosomal RNA". It matches the Rfam family "Bacterial small subunit ribosomal RNA", at positions 109 to 334 of the family's 1533-position model. The record is from RNAcentral.